AAACAUUAACAGAAGCAAUAGGGAAAUUCUCCUGGAGCGCUCACACGCUCCCCUCCCCACAGCACCACAGGUGGUUUUAACAUGCGUUCUUGGGGUCAGAGGCCUGGCACAGAGGGUAAGAGAGCUAAGUGUGUAAGACAGAGGACCCCAAAGCUCAGCAACAAGUAGAAGCUGGGCACCACAGAGUGUGGGGGUGCGGACAGAUUCCCAGGAACUCAUGGGCCAGUCAGUCUAGUAGAAAGAGGAAGCUGCAGGUUCAGCGAAGGGUUUUUGUCUCAAAGGAAUAAAAUGCAGGUUGGCAGAUGGACAAGACCACACCUCAUGUUCUCUUCUGGUCUUCACACACACACACACACACACACACACACUGUUUUAACUACUCACCACUUUCAAAAAGCAUCUGCCCAUUUUCAGACAUUUCCAAUAUAGUUUUUGCUUCCACCCUAAGAAAACAGCUUCCCUGGAAAUUGUCGAUAGAUGUACUACUUACUAGUUAACAUGCCUGAGAACCAUGAUCUUCCCCUUCCGUGCUCAUUCUCCGGCACUCUGGGUGCUAAUGUCAUUGACUCCUCCUCUGACGCUCUCCACUUGUCUUUUGUGACGCAUAUAUGCUCGUGUGGGUCUGCUUCCGGCCUUGAUGUGUCCGGUGCACCGAGCUGGACUGGAAGGAAGAAGCUUUGCGGAAGGCUGGGUUAGCAGGAUCCCGGUCUGGCCGCUGGAACAGGAGAAACAGCCUUCUCUGUGGCGGUUUUCAGGGAAACAGCUCUUUACCGGAGGAGCUGUGUGGCUUCAUUUGACCGAACCUCCAGCCCCUCAAAUACUUUCAGCUGCAUUUGUCUCUAUUUGACCCGUGCGAACACUGUGCAUUCAUGUCGAUCGCACACUGUGGACCUGGGCCCCACCUGAUUCUUGGAUUCUUUCCUGGUCCUUGGAGCAGUGUCACAGAGCUUCGUGGGGUAGGAAGCCUCCUCCACGGCAGAAAGCUAUGCCUGUGGAUGCCUUUCGCCCUUCUGGAGCACACCAUCCUUAGCAACCCUCUUUAAGACAGAUUUGGGUGCCCAGACUUGAGGAAAUGCCCAGAUGCUCAAUCCUACACUGCCUGCUUUCAUGCAGAGAAGACAUCAUCACCCAGGAAGAAUAUACAUUCUUCUUCAACAUGCUUCUGAGGAGAUAGCCUUGGCAAACACACAUGUCUCAUUCUUAACCAAACCCUACCCAAGUGAGACUAUAUAUAAUAUAGAUUAGUUGAUAUAUAUGUAUAUAUAAACAUAUAGAUAUAUCAACUAACCUGAAGAAGUGGAGUCAAGAUGAGACCUCCCUUUCCUAAAUCAAUGUUCUCAGCUUUUCAAUGUCUUACACUGUGAUUCUUCAACAGAAUCCUCAUGCUUCCAAUUGAAACAUACUUAAAAACAAAACAAAACAUUAGACAGAAAGUUUUGAUGCUGAGUUUUGUUUGAGUUCCAUAUCACAAACCAUCUUCCUAUACCUCAAAAUCUGAUUUUUUUUUUUUUUUUACUUACACUUUUGUUCCUAUGCACUUGUGACAUGAGGUCCAAGUACAUUACUUACAUGAAAAAGAAAAGUCUGACAGAUGUCAUGUUUGUUGUAGCAAGUUUCAUAAUUCACUGAAGCUAUUUAGGGAAGAAAGGUUCUCAGGGGGCAGAGGCAGAGCUCUGUGAGCCUGAGGCCGGCCACAGUGAAACCUGCCUAAAAUGAAGAAGAAAUGGGUAUUUGGUGGCUGCUUUUGUUUUUGACAGGGUCUUACUCUGUAGUCCAGGCUGGUCUUAAAUCUACAGCCCUGUCUCCACUGCAGCCUCGUGAGUGGCGAGAUCUGAGUUUCCGGCUUCUCAGACAGGAAUUUACUGACCUGUGAGACACUCACAGGACCUUUGCGAUGGACAGAGAACUGCUCAGCCCAGGCAGGUGGCCACCCGUGCUGUGGGGUCGUAGCCGGGUCCAGGGCUCCUUCCCCAGUCUCCAGAGAAGAAUCCUUUUCUCACAGCACAUAAGAAAAUGCCACUUCUUCAUGUGUUCUGUCUUACAUAGCUGAAUCGCCUUUGUGAAACCCACACGGUUGUCCCGAGUUUUCCUUUUCUGAAAAUGAUGAGGGCACAGUGGAAACUCAGACAGUACAAAAGGAGCACCGAGCGCUCGUCCUGACAAAGGCCCUGCCUUUCUUCAUGCUUGGCUCUUCUUACCGAAGGGGAAAAGAAUCUGUCCUGGAAAAAAAAAAAAAAAACAGACAGUAAGGAGCCUUGCUAAUGAGUGGGCUUCCACAGCUGUUUCCAGACCCCAGCAUCCGUGCCGAGGCGGGACUGUACCUACUGUGUGCUAGUCUGCUUAGACAAUGGUCUGAUGGCCUUUCCUCCGCCCAUAAACACGAAAUUAUCAGACAAUAAACAACCAUAGUUGUGUCUGAAGUAUUGUUUUUAAAAUAAAAUUUGUUUGUCUCUCCUGAA
This is a long non-coding RNA of Meriones unguiculatus (Mongolian gerbil), 2459 nucleotides long. RefSeq lists it as uncharacterized. The transcript has 3 exons. The record is from RefSeq and is a predicted model, not a curated record. Lineage: Eukaryota; Metazoa; Chordata; Mammalia; Rodentia; Muridae.